Helianthus annuus (common sunflower) is the source of this 4601-nucleotide long non-coding RNA. RefSeq lists it as uncharacterized. The transcript has 3 exons. The record is from RefSeq and is a predicted model, not a curated record. NCBI's taxonomy places the organism in Eukaryota, Viridiplantae, Streptophyta, Magnoliopsida, Asterales, Asteraceae.
UGUUUAUGCCGAAACCCAAUUAUUUGGGUAGUCGAAUGUGUAUGCUUAACUCUCUUUGAGAGUGUUUAUGCCAAACCCAAUUACUUGGGUAGUCGAAUGUGUAAGAAAGAAGAAAGCUCAUAUGUGGAUGGAACUAAAAUGAAGUGAUUAUGAUUCGACAACUGAGAUGACUAACUUUAAAAUCUUGUUGCCGAAGGUAGGUAAAACUUUAAGUUUUUGCUAGAGCACAUGUAAGAAAGAAAAGGUACGAAUGAUAUGUUUGAAGCCGAUAGUGUGUAAGUUAAGAUUUUUCCUUAAGGCGGAUGUGGGAUUUUAAGUUCAUAUGAUAGAAUGUGAAUUUACAAGCGUGUAGGAAGAAACGGGAGGUUAAACGGGUAAACGGUUCAAAAGACACGCGCGUUUUAGUGCGUUCGGACGACGAAACGGAUCUGCAGAAAAGGGACUUUUCUAGAGGCCGUCGCCGACGGGUUCCCACCCCGUCGCCGACGGGCUCCCAAAAGUGUGAAAGAGGCCGACGGCCUAACCGACUGGUUACGGGUUAAAUUGGACGACGGGCAUUUUAAGAGGCCGUCGCCGACGGGUGCCCACCCCGUCGCCGACGGGCUGUCUAGCCCACUUCUCCGUUUUGCUUAAUUUUGCAUUUCCAAAUGAUCCGUAACGCAUUCCGAUGAUUCGUAAAGUUUCUUAUGAGCAUAUAGGGAUGUACAUAAGUAGAUAAGCAUGUAAGUAUGUUUAUAUGUAACCGUAUAUGUACGUAGAACUUAUGCAAGUAGGUAUGCGCGAAAGUAUGUAAGUUUAUAGUGUGGGAACAAGUACUAGUUAUGUAUGUAUAAAUGUAUAUGUAUAGAUAUCGGUUUAUGUAGGUACGCAAGUAUUUAUAUAAGAGCACAAGCAUCAUGCGAAUGAAUAUGAAAAUGUGUACGUAUGUAUGCAUGAUGAUAUGUAUGAGCGUAUGCGUGUAUGUGAAAAAUAUAGGAAAUGUGUGUACGUAUGUAGAUGUAUAAGUAUAUGAGUAUGUAAGUACAUAUAUGAUGUAUGAGUAGAAUGAAAUAAAUCGAUUUAUUUCGAUUAGUAAAUGUAUGAAUGUAAUAUGCUUAAAUAGGAAAUUAGAAACAAGCCGUAGACUUAAGUUUGUAUGAAUAAUAAUUUUAUACAAUUGGAAUAGAUUCAAUGAAUGAAAUGCAAGGGAUGAUAUGUGCUAGAAACUAGCAAUAUGAAAUGAAGGACACUAAUAAGAGCUCUGGAAUAGAGUCUAACAUAAGUAGGGUAAGAGUAGAAUUGGUCUGAUUCGAAUAAGGAAGGUUUCGGGGACGAAACCUCCUUUAAGGGGGGUAGACUUGUAACGCCCCAAAAAUCCGCAUUUAUGAAUUUACCUUGUGUUUAAAGUAACACCCCAAGUCUCGUAUGCCCUAAUGUAAUAUUAAAAGUCUGAUGUUUAGAUGAUAAGAAAUAGUAAAUAUAGAUUUUUACCAUCUCCUAAGUUUUAUAAACUAUGGUAAGUCAAAAGUUAUGUACACAUGAUAUUUACCAAGGGAAAAGUUAACCUAGUUAGUAUGUGAUUAUAAGGAAAGUGUCAUAUGUUAAAAGGAUGAGGGGGUUAAAAUGAAAAGUGUGUGUGUGUGAUUAAAACACUUACAAAAAAAAUGCCCAGUGAUUUAGAAGUGGGUGUGCGUGACCGUGAGAACAAGACCAAGGGGGAAACCCUAUUUCUUCAAAAUCUUGCAAAUUAAAGGAGAAAAGGGCUAAAUUUUGAAUGCAUGAACUAAGAAUGAUGAUCAUCUAAGCAUACCCAACAUCAAGAACGUGUCAAGGAGAGGUCAAGCAUAGGAGGAUAACGGGUCAAGAUAAGGCAAGGUGACAAAUACACUUAUUGGAGUACUCGAGGUAAGUGAAUUUCGAUUCACUUUUUAGUAGGUUUAAUAGAUUUUAAUACUUAUGUUUACGAAACAUCAUGAAAGAACAUGUGAUAAUCAGAAGUACAAAGCCAAUAAUGCCUCAUUAUUGAAGAAGGUUGUAUUUAAGCCGAAAGUAAAUUGGUGGGUUUAAACGGGUCGAAUUUUAUGUGCAUAUGUUGCGUAAUGUAAUGAAAUUCGUUAGGGUUAAGACCUUGGGUAAGAAUUUUAGUCAUUAUGUAAGGGGAACAUUUCCCGGACCAUUAGGAACAAGUUUUAUAUGAUUCGGUUGUCGGUUAGUGAAUGAACGGAUUGUUUCGUGUUAGUGUAGGAAAUUUUAUAAGUAUAUGUGUAUGGGAAUCCAAAGGCCACGUGGGUUGAAUCGUAGAUUGUCUAUACUAUGUAAAGUUGUAAAUGUGACAUUCCGGCAUAAACCUACAUGUAAAAGAAGCUUGUGUAUAUAUUCGUGAUUAAUUGAUUGUGCGUAGGAAGGAACAUUGGCAUGUAUGAAGGUACGCAUAUAUAUAUAUAAGUGUAUAUAUAUAUGUAUGUAUGUAUGAUAAUAAGUACGUAGGUGUGAAUGUAUGUGUGAAUGAAUGUUCAAUGCUUAAGACAUAUGCAUGAACGUAUCAAAGUGUUCGAGUAUUUAUGGAUACUAAUGAUGUGCGUUGAGUUGGAAUGUAAUGUAGGUAUGGGAUCGUUGGCUUCAUGAAGAAAUGGAGCUGGAUUUGGAUAAGAGUAUUUAAGAAAGCGCUUGGACAAUUCCACGACUACUUUAUAGAAUGCUCUACGAAAUUUUAUUAUAUAGUUUAAUGUUGAAUGGUAUGUUAAUGACUAAUGGUUUGGUUGUACGUGGUGUCCACAGGUAUCGCUUGGGUUUUCUCUACAUUUAUUGAAGUGAAGCGGACUUAGUUCGAGUUGAGAGCAAGGAUUGUACGGGGUAGAAUGGUCACAUAGUGUAACUCAUAUAGGUUUUGAAGUAUUAAUGUUAUAAAACGUUAUAAAUCCGUUUUAAUGAAUAUAUGGCAUUUCGCAUUUGAACCUUCAUGUGUUUGAUAUGUCUAUUAAAGAACGAAAUUUUUGGGCUCUUGUUUUCCGCUGCGUCGUAUUUUAAGUUAUUACGCGUUAGUCUUACAGGGAAUUGUUCUUAUUACGAACGGGUCAUGCCCGAAUUUUGUUAAAUAAUAGUAUGAUAAUAUUACAUUUUGGAAUGUGUAAUUUGGGUGUAACAAGUUGGUAUCAGAGCCCUGGUUUGAGAGAAUUAAGUACGAGAGUAUAAGUACUUGAACUCAAACCUGUGUGCUCUUGUGAUAAGGAACCCGUACAAUCCAUGACUCGAUCAAGAUCUAAAGGUAGAAAUGGAAUGAAAAUGUGUAAGUAUGUAUUAGAUUAUGUAUUUGAAAGAAACUAAUAGUGUGUUAUGUGCAAGGUAAGCUUAAGAGCUUGAAGAGGAUGAUCCGUGAAUACAGAAUAGGAUGAACGCUAAGGCGGGCAAAGGUGCAAAUAGGCAAAUUAACCCCAGGAACGUGUCAAGGAGAGGUCAAGCAUAGGAGGAUAACGGGUCAAGAUAAGGCAAGGUGACAAAUACACUUAUUGGAGUACUCGAGGUAAGUGAAUUUCGAUUCACUUUUUAGUAGGUUUAAUAGAUUUUAAUACUUAUGUUUACGAAACAUCAUGAAAGAACAUGUGAUAAUCAGAAGUACAAAGCCAAUAAUGCCUCAUUAUUGAAGAAGGUUGUAUUUAAGCCGAAAGUAAAUUGGUGGGUUUAAACGGGUCGAAUUUUAUGUGCAUAUGUUGCGUAAUGUAAUGAAAUUCGUUAGGGUUAAGACCUUGGGUAAGAAUUUUAGUCAUUAUGUAAGGGGAACAUUUCCCGGACCAUUAGGAACAAGUUUUAUAUGAUUCGGUUGUCGGUUAGUGAAUGAACGGAUUGUUUCGUGUUAGUGUAGGAAAUUUUAUAAGUAUAUGUGUAUGGGAAUCCAAAGGCCACGUGGGUUGAAUCGUAGAUUGUCUAUACUAUGUAAAGUUGUAAAUGUGACAUUCCGGCAUAAACCUACAUGUAAAAGAAGCUUGUGUAUAUAUUCGUGAUUAAUUGAUUGUGCGUAGGAAGGAACAUUGGCAUGUAUGAAGGUACGCAUAUAUAUAUAUAUAUAAGUGUAUAUAUAUAUAUAUGUAUGUAUGUAUGAUAAUAAGUACGUAGGUGUGAAUGUAUGUGUGAAUGAAUGUUCAAUGCUUAAGACAUAUGCAUGAACGUAUCAAAGUGUUCGAGUAUUUAUGGAUACUAAUGAUGUGCGUUGAGUUGGAAUGUAAUGUAGGUAUGGGAUCGUUGGCUUCAUGAAGAAAUGGAGCUGGAUUUGGAUAAGAGUAUUUAAGAAAGCGCUUGGACAAUUCCACGACUACUUUAUAGAAUGCUCUACGAAAUUUUAUUAUAUAGUUUAAUGUUGAAUGGUAUGUUAAUGACUAAUGGUUUGGUUGUACGUGGUGUCCACAGGUAUCGCUUGGGUUUUCUCUACAUUUAUUGAAGUGAAGCGGACUUAGUUCGAGUUGAGAGCAAGGAUUGUACGGGGUAGAAUGGUCACAUAGUGUAACUCAUAUAGGUUUUGAAGUAUUAAUGUUAUAAAACGUUAUAAAUCCGUUUUAAUGAAUAUAUGGCAUUUCGCAUUUGAACCUUCAUGUGUUUGAUAUGUCUAUUAAAGAACGAAAUUUUUGGGC